CCAGAGGUUACUGCUAUCGGUGUUCGCCUAAGCCAUGCGAGUCAUAUGUUCUUCGUGAACAUGGCGUACUGCUCAGUAACACGUGGAUAACCUGCCCUUGGGUCCGGCAUAACCCCGGGAAACUGGGGAUAAUUCCGGAUAACGCACAUAUGCUGGAAUGCUUUAUGCGUAAAAUGGAUUCGUCUGCCCAAGGAUGGGUCUGCGGCCUAUCAGGUAGUAGUGGGUGUAAUGUACCUACUAGCCAACAACGGGUACGGGUUGUGAGAGCAAGAGCCCGGAGAUGGAUUCUGAGACAUGAAUCCAGGCCCUACGGGGCGCAGCAGGCGCGAAAACUUUACAAUGCGGGAAACCGUGAUAAGGGGACACCGAGUGCCAGCAUCAUAUGCUGGCUGUCCGGGUGUGUAAAAUACACCCGUUAGCAAGGGCCGGGCAAGACCGGUGCCAGCCGCCGCGGUAACACCGGCGGCCCGAGUGGUGAUCGUGAUUAUUGGGUCUAAAGGGUCCGUAGCCGGUUUGGUCAGUCCUCCGGGAAAUCUGAUAGCUCAACUAUUAGGCUUUCGGGGGAUACUGCCAGGCUUGGAACCGGGAGAGGUAAGAGGUACUACAGGGGUAGGAGUGAAAUCUUGUAAUCCCUGUGGGACCACCUGUGGCGAAGGCGUCUUACCAGAACGGGUUCGACGGUGAGGGACGAAAGCUGGGGGCACGAACCGGAUUAGAUACCCGGGUAGUCCCAGCCGUAAACGAUGCUCGCUAGGUGUCAGGCAUGGCGCGACCGUGUCUGGUGCCGCAGGGAAGCCGUGAAGCGAGCCACCUGGGAAGUACGGCCGCAAGGCUGAAACUUAAAGGAAUUGGCGGGGGAGCAC
RNAcentral lists this ribosomal RNA (863 nucleotides) under uncultured archaeon. Its description in RNAcentral is "bacterial SSU rRNA". It matches the Rfam family "Archaeal small subunit ribosomal RNA", at positions 17 to 879 of the family's 1478-position model. The record is from RNAcentral.